This 290-nucleotide small nuclear RNA is filed under the name Mus spicilegus (steppe mouse). RNAcentral describes it as "7SK RNA (ENSMSIG00000003637.1)". It matches the Rfam family "7SK RNA". From Rfam's summary of the family: 7SK was discovered as an abundant small nuclear RNA in the mid-70s but a possible function has only recently been suggested. Two independent studies have found that 7SK RNA binds the CDK9/cyclin T complex (known as elongation factor P-TEFb). P-TEFb activates transcription by phosphorylating the C-terminal domain of RNA polymerase II. Lineage: Eukaryota; Metazoa; Chordata; Mammalia; Rodentia; Muridae. The record is from RNAcentral.
GGCUGUUGAAGACAAUCUGUUCACAACAUCUGGCACCCCAAUCAUUGUCAGGACUGUUCUCACUGCACUGGUAGCUAAGGUGGACCCUUCCUCCUUCACCACUCUUACACAUGCCUCCAGACUCUUCAGACUUGUCAUCAAGGACACCCUUCCAUGACAGAGAAUUGUUCUUUGGUCAUGAGUAUACAAGUAACUGCAGUUCUCUGGUAGGAAUCUCCAAAUAAAAUUCUGAAGGAAUAUAAAUUUGAACAAGGCACCAAUAUAAUAUAACAUAAUAUAAUAGUGGAUAU